GCAGGUGCAAUGAAAGAUCCUAGAAAU
This 27-nucleotide non-coding RNA is filed under the name Rattus norvegicus (Norway rat). Lineage: Eukaryota; Metazoa; Chordata; Mammalia; Rodentia; Muridae. The record is from RNAcentral.